AUUGAACGCUGGCGGAAUGCUUUACACAUGCAAGUCGAACGGCAGCACGGACUUCGGUCUGGUGGCGAGUGGCGAACGGGUGAGUAAUGUAUCGGAACGUGCCCAGUCGUGGGGGAUAACGUAGUGAAAAUUACGCUAAUACCGCAUACGAUCUAUGGAUGAAAGCGGGGGAUCGCAAGACCUCGCGCGAUUGGAGCGGCCGAUAUCAGAUUAGGUAGUUGGUGGGGUAAAGGCCCACCAAGCCAACGAUCUGUAGCUGGUCUGAGAGGACGACCAGCAACGCUGGAACUGGGACACGGUCCAGACUCCUACGGGAGGCAGCAGUGGGGAAUUUUGGACAAUGGGCGAAAGCCUGAUCCAGCCAUUCCGCGUGCAGGAUGAAGGCCCUCGGGUUGUAAACUGCUUUUGUACAGAACGAAAAGGUUUCUACUAAUACUAGGAGCUCAUGACGGUACUGUAAGAAUAAGCACCGGCUAACUACGUGCCAGCCGCCGCCGUAA
Molecule: ribosomal RNA, 500 nt
Filed under: uncultured bacterium
Lineage: Bacteria
Description: partial 16S ribosomal RNA
Rfam family: Bacterial small subunit ribosomal RNA
Source: RNAcentral